UUCAGGUCUCUCACACCUUGGACGAGUUCUAGGAGCUUCUUGUUUUGCUGCUUGUGGUAGCUUUAGCUCCUUAGAGCCGCUGUAUGGAGCCACAUUGCUGGGUCCUCUGAGGUACCAGAAGAGAGCUCACCCCAGUCAACAGGCCUGGGGCUAAAAGACUUCCUACUGGCACUCUGUAAGCUUGAGUAAAGAGAAGGUUAGUGUUUUAGACAAAUAAAACAAAUAUUGAAUGGCUUACAAAGUCUUCCCUCUUUG
RNAcentral lists this long non-coding RNA (255 nucleotides) under Fukomys damarensis (Damara mole-rat). RNAcentral describes it as "lncRNA (ENSFDAG00000021783.1)". The record is from RNAcentral. Lineage: Eukaryota; Metazoa; Chordata; Mammalia; Rodentia; Bathyergidae.